Molecule: ribosomal RNA, 494 nt
Filed under: uncultured bacterium
Lineage: Bacteria
Description: partial 16S ribosomal RNA
Rfam family: Bacterial small subunit ribosomal RNA
Source: RNAcentral
GACGAACGCUGGCGGCGUGCUUAACACAUGCAAGUCGAACGGAAAGGCCUGCUUUCCCUUGUGGAUUGCGGGUACUCGAGUGGCGAACGGGUGAGUAACACGUGAGUGAUCUGCCCCCAACUUGGGUAUAAGCCUGGGAAACUGGGUCUAAUUCCCGAUAGGACUGCAGGGUGGUGCCUGUGGUGGAAAACGAUUUUCUAGUGGUUGGGGAUGAGCUCGCGGCCUAUCAGCUUGUUGGUGGGGUAAUGGCCUACCAAGGCGGCGACGGGUAGCCGGCCUGGGAGGGUGGACGGCCACAUUGGGACUGAGAUACGGCCCAGACUCCUACGGGAGGCAGCAGUGGGGAAUAUUGCACGAUGGGCGGAAGCCUGAUGCAGCGACGCCGCGUGGGGGAUGACGGCCUUCGGGUUGUAACCUCCUUUCGACCGCGAGGAAGCCACCUGGUUGGAAGGGUGGUGACGGUAGUGGUAGAAGAAGCACCGGCUAACUACGUG